CAUCCGAGCUUCUACAGUAAGCGGCCUCCUUUUGGACUCCUACAAGAAUCGGACUCCGUCCGAACUUCUACAAAAGAUGGGCUCCAGUAGCCAGAUUUCUAUAGUGACCGACUGUCUCCGGUGUCUUCCAUACCUCUCCAGCCAUCAAUCUUCAACAGCGCUAACCGGACUUCAAUAGUGUCCUCCAGACUCCUCCAGUGGAC
RNAcentral lists this long non-coding RNA (203 nucleotides) under Elaeis guineensis (African oil palm). RNAcentral's name for it is "long non-coding RNA (EGUI_LNC078883)". Lineage: Eukaryota; Viridiplantae; Streptophyta; Magnoliopsida; Arecales; Arecaceae. The record is from RNAcentral.